CCCAACACGAAUCCUCCGAGGCACGCAUCGACGUGGACACCGAUGUUGUAUCUUUUACCAAGCUGCAAAGAAAGUCACAACAGUCAGGGAACUUUGAUAAGUUUCAUCCGAAAGUACUCGGCAGCCUUAGAAACAGAAAACAUCAUGAACAAAAUAUCAAUGAAGGGUAUUAACGCACUGAUGAUUUGCACAAACCUUCUCAAAAGCUGCAUGAGCUGAUUCGGAAACAACUCUAAAGAGAACCGUGAAGUUUGGUAAUUCCUUUAACGUCUCUGCCCCAAUCUCUAUAUGAUUUACACGCCAUAAGAAUGCUAUUCGUGCCAGAUGCAGUCAUCUAAAGUGGAAGAAGAUUGGACGAAGUCAGUAGAGUGAACAUACCUUCUCCUCUAAAAAUGGCAGUUUUCGGAAAAUCUUGAAGAAGGUCUUUUUAGAUCUAAACACGAUGCCUAAAUGGUACAGUGAUAUGGUAGUUGAAAACAACGUGUUCAGACAGUGGAAAACCUACUUGCCAAGCCUCCAAUCCUCUGCACAUUCGCCUCACUUUCCUCUCCAAUAACAGUUGCAAAUAGACCGCUCUGAGCUGGAUGAAAGAAUACAUUAUUACCAAGGCUAUUUUGGUGCUCUAGCUGCCAUUUAUCAAGUCAUAUUUUGGAAAAGAGUUGACGUCGUUUUUUCUGUGUUUUUAUCAACGAGAUAACCGUUGUAGAAAUCUCUGGCGGUGAUGGACUUUCUGUGUUGCAUUUUCAACGAUUUCCAGCCGACCCAGCCAUCCUGCAGGAAAAAAGCAAAUGAUAUGGCUUGUGUCUAGGUGUUCUUGUCUUUUACGGGUUCAGCUGGUAACAAAACAAGCCUUAUGCAGACUUUUGCAAGUUGUCUGAGCGAGAAUUUACUGCUUUCACACCUUGCACUUUAUAAAAAGAAGAUUUUCAUCGCAGUCGUAAUACGGUUGGCCAACAACUGCAUCUUCUGGAGGACCUAAAGGAGCAAAAUGAGAUGGAUAUCCCCUUUCGGGACCGCAGUCAUAUGCUAUGUAUAUUUAAGAAAAAUACAAGAAGCAGGUAGUAUAUUUAAAACUUUCUUGGGACACGUCAACAAAAUACAAAAUCUGAAUUUUCUUGAUACCUCACCUGGUAGUGAAGUGCUACAUAUAUCAAGUUUUCCCAAUGUGACAAUUUGAUUGUUCCACUUACAUUUGAGACCGAACUAUUGAAAGCGGAUUAGACUUGUAUGAAUCAGACAAAUUAAUUGUAUGUUAUCGUCAAAGUCUGAUAUUCGAAGCUCGUUUUGUCAGGUUGAAGGUUGUUUUGUCAAAACAAGUUUCAUACCAACCCUCUGUCGAGUCGCACAGGACAAUCGCUGAAUAUAUCCACAAGUGAAUUCGCCCCAUUUGAUGUAGCUCGUUUCUUUCAAUAGUUUAGGAGCUAAAUACCCAAAGACGUUUGAACAACGUGUGCAAGGAAUUUGCUGAAAAUAUCAAUUUAGGGAUCUAGUAGCAGCAUACCUUCUGUAACCUCUCUUUCAUCCUGGGCGAUGGCAGAUGUUCGUAAUUCGUUGAAAUUUGCCAGGACAUCAACGAGCUAAAAUUUGGAGAUGAGAUUUCCGUUUACGA
Molecule: long non-coding RNA, 1609 nt
Filed under: Dendronephthya gigantea
Lineage: Eukaryota; Metazoa; Cnidaria; Anthozoa; Malacalcyonacea; Nephtheidae
Description: uncharacterized LOC114525498
Source: RNAcentral